RNAcentral lists this unclassified non-coding RNA (408 nucleotides) under Hevea brasiliensis (rubber tree). Lineage: Eukaryota; Viridiplantae; Streptophyta; Magnoliopsida; Malpighiales; Euphorbiaceae. The record is from RNAcentral.
GUAUCUUUCUAUUGACUCAGACUCGGAGUAACGAAGUGGAGUUUAUUUUGCUGAGAUUACUGUUGCUUUCAUUAAAAUUUCUUGGAGAUCAGCAUUUCCUGGGAUGAUAUGGUGAUUAAAAAGCAUAUCGACAUUUGGUUCCUAUGAUAUGGAAGUCUUGGAUGAGGCAUGAAGCAUAUACAUCGGGAACAAUGUCAUCAGGAAAACUGUCCUCUUAAAGUUGUGUUGGCAGCUGAAGAUUUUUUUCACAAUUGGUGAGCUGUAGGCCUCAUAAACCCUUCUCAAUUUUGUGCGGUAUGACCUGGUUUCUGAUGUUCUUUGUUCUAUCAGGGGUUAUUACAAGCACUCUCUUUCUCCCAUCUUGACAAAGAUCUAUGUCUGGUGCUGGUAAAUUGUACAGUAGAUAGU